Molecule: small nucleolar RNA, 101 nt
Filed under: Paraphaeosphaeria sporulosa
Lineage: Eukaryota; Fungi; Ascomycota; Dothideomycetes; Pleosporales; Didymosphaeriaceae
Description: Small nucleolar RNA Z13/snr52
Rfam family: Small nucleolar RNA Z13/snr52
About the family: Z13 or snr52 is a member of the C/D class of snoRNA which contain the C (UGAUGA) and D (CUGA) box motifs. Most of the members of the box C/D family function in directing site-specific 2'-O-methylation of substrate RNAs.
Source: Rfam by way of RNAcentral
CAGGGUACAAUGAUUAAACAUUUUCGGAUGUAAACCAUUUAAACCACCGAGAGCGCAAAACCGUGUGGAUAUCUUCCGUUGCCUUCCUUCUGAGUACCCCU